Molecule: ribosomal RNA, 788 nt
Filed under: uncultured bacterium
Lineage: Bacteria
Description: bacterial SSU rRNA
Rfam family: Bacterial small subunit ribosomal RNA
Source: RNAcentral
CAAGUCGAACGUCCUCUCGUUUCGGAAGGAGCGCGAGGGAGUGGCGGACGGGUGAGUAACACGUGGGUGAUCUACCGGCAGGUGAGGAAUACCGGCGAGAAAUGGCCGACAAGACCGCAUACGAUUGCGCGCAGGCGCAAUCAAAGUCGUGGCGCGAGUCACGAUGCCUGCUGCUGAGCCCGCGCCCGAUUAGCUGGUUGGUGAGGUAAGAGCUCACCAAGGCGACCAUCGGUAGCUGGUCUGAGAGGAUGAGCAGCCACACUGGGAUUGAGAACGGCCCAGACUCCUACGGGGGGCAGCAGUGAGGAAUUUUCCGCAAUGGGCGCAAGCCUGACGGAGCAACGCCGCGUGCAGGAGGACGGCCUUCGGGUUGUAAACUGCUUUUCCCAGGGACGAGCCACAGGACGGUACCUGGGGAAUAAGCCCCGGCUAACUACGUGCCAGCAGCCGCGGUAAUACGUAGGGGGCAAGCGUUGUCCGGAGUUACUGGGCGUAAAGGGCUCGCAGGCGGUGCGAUGCGUUGUGGGUGCCAGCCUUGUGCUUCACACAGGGAGUGCUCGCAAAACGGUGGCACUUGAGGGCCAGAGAGGGACAUGGAACUCCGGGUGGAGUGGUGAAAUGCGUAGAGAUCCGGAAGAACACCAAAGGCGAAGGCAGUGUCCUGGCUGGUACCUGACGCUGAGGAGCGAGAGCUAGGGGAGCGAACAGGAUUAGAUACCCUGGUAGUCCUAGCCGUAAACGAUGACCACUAGGCGUGGGAGGUAUCGACCCCUUCCGUGCCGUCGGUA